CUCAGAACGAACGCUGGCGGCGCGUCUUAAGCAUGCAAGUCGAACGGCAAGAGGUAGCAAUACCUCCUAGAGUGGCGGACUGGUGAGUAACACGUGGGUGACAUACCCUUCAGAUGGGGGAUAGCUAUUAGAAAUAGUAGAUAAUACCGAAUACGAGCACAGGGGUUAGAGAUCUGUGAGGAAAGGAGCUAAGGCUCCGCUGAAGGAAUGGCCUGCGGCCCAUUAGCUAGUUGGUGAGGUAAGAGCCCACCAAGGCGAUGAUGGGUAUCCGGCCUUAGAGGGUGAACGGACACAUUGGGACUGAGAUACGGCCCAGACUCCUACGGGAGGCAGCAGCUAAGAAUAUUCCGCAAUGGACGAAAGUCUGACGGAGCGACGCCGCGUGGAUGAAGAAGGCCGGAAGGUUGUAAAAAUCCUUUUGAAACUGAAGAAUAAGCGUUGCAGGGAAUGACAGCGUGGUGACAGUAGGUUUUGAAUAAGCAACGGCUAAUUACGUGCCAGCCGCCGC
Molecule: ribosomal RNA, 508 nt
Filed under: uncultured bacterium
Lineage: Bacteria
Description: bacterial SSU rRNA
Rfam family: Bacterial small subunit ribosomal RNA
Source: RNAcentral